UUCCUCAUAUCUCGUCAAAUCCCUUCUCACAGUCCUUAAGAAAAUGACAAAAACAAUGCCAGCUAGGAAAAAGAUCACCAUAAGAGAAUUUAGAAUAGAGAACCAAUGGACACGAGCACCUUCCAUCUUCAAAUAAGCAUCCCACCGUGAUGGCCAUCUGAUAUCACUUUUCACAAAUGCAACUUCAUAAGUGAAAGAAACUCUCUCUUGCUCUCUUAUGACCUGAGACUUGUCAAGGUCCAAGGGGCAGU
This 251-nucleotide unclassified non-coding RNA is filed under the name Hevea brasiliensis (rubber tree). The record is from RNAcentral. Lineage: Eukaryota; Viridiplantae; Streptophyta; Magnoliopsida; Malpighiales; Euphorbiaceae.